This is a long non-coding RNA of Helianthus annuus (common sunflower), 475 nucleotides long. RefSeq lists it as uncharacterized. NCBI's taxonomy places the organism in Eukaryota, Viridiplantae, Streptophyta, Magnoliopsida, Asterales, Asteraceae. The record is from RefSeq and is a predicted model, not a curated record. The transcript is spliced from 3 exons.
UACCUUAUGAAGGGGUUAAAGCCUACUAAACAAUAAGUAGAACAAAGUGGAGGGGCCUGAAUUGUCAAAACUGAAACUUAAGUUACUAAUAGUAACCAAAGCAAAACCAAACACCCCAAAACUUGGUGUCUGGUCGAUCAAGAGAGAGGGGCGACCAGGGGAUUUGCUUCAAACCCUAGUUUGUCACAAACAGCUCAAAUUGGAAGCCCAAAUUAAGUCCAAAUCGAAUUCUAAACACAAAUUAGUGAUCACCUCGGCAUAAGGAUCAAAAGGACAAGAUACCGGGACGUCGAGCGGACAAGCCGGUGGUGAUUCUCGGUUGAAGGGCGUGCGCUAAGGUAAUUUGGCGGAUCUUACAGGUGGCGAUCAAGCGAUUUAGUGAAGAACCGAACACUCUUUUUUUGAAGCUUCCGCAAUGUUUAGACCUUUUGUAGUCUUUGUGUAUGGGUUGUAAACACAAGUCAAACAAUUUCUU